AGCGAACGCUGGCGGCGCGCCUAAUACAUGCAAGUCGAGCGAGAAGACGUAGCAAUACGUUUGUAAAGCGGCGAACGGGUGAGGAAUACAUGGGUAACCUACCCUCGAGUGGGGAAUAACUAGCCGAAAGGUUAGCUAAUACCGCGUACGCUCCUUGGACUCCGGUUCAGGGAGGAAAGCGAUACCGUGGGUAUCGCGCUCUUGGAUGGGCUCAUGUCCUAUCAGCUUGNGGUGAGGUAACGGCUCACCAAGGCUUCGACGGGUAGCUGGUCUGAGAGGACGAUCAGCCACACUGGCACUGCGACACGGGCCAGACUCCUACGGGAGGCAGCAGUAAGGAAUAUUGCGCAAUGGGCGAAAGCCUGACGCAGCGACGCCGCGUGGGGGGA
This 389-nucleotide ribosomal RNA is filed under the name uncultured bacterium. RNAcentral's name for it is "bacterial SSU rRNA". It matches the Rfam family "Bacterial small subunit ribosomal RNA", at positions 29 to 409 of the family's 1533-position model. The record is from RNAcentral.